Molecule: ribosomal RNA, 492 nt
Filed under: uncultured bacterium
Lineage: Bacteria
Description: partial 16S ribosomal RNA
Rfam family: Bacterial small subunit ribosomal RNA
Source: RNAcentral
AGUGAACGCUGGCGGUAGGCCUAACACAUGCAAGUCGAACGGCAGCACAGUAAGAGCUUGCUCUUACGGGUGGCGAGUGGCGGACGGGUGAGGAAUACAUCGGAAUCUGCUUUUUCGUGGGGGAUAACGUAGGGAAACUUACGCUAAUACCGCAUACGACCUACGGGUGAAAGCAGGGGAUCUUCGGACCUUGCGCGAUUGAAUGAGCCGAUGUCGGAUUAGCUAGUUGGCGGGGUAAAGGCCCACCAAGGCGACGAUCCGUAGCUGGUCUGAGAGGAUGAUCAGCCACACUGGAACUGCGACACGGUCCAGACUCCUACGGGAGGCAGCAGUGGGGAAUAUUGGACAAUGGGCGCAAGCCUGAUCCAGCCAUACCGCGUGAGUGAAGAAGGCCUUCGGGUUGUAAAGCCCUUUUGUUGGGAAAGAAAAGCAGCAGGUUAAUACCCCGCUGUUCUGACGGUACCCAAAGAAUAAGCACCGGCUAACUUCGUG